RNAcentral lists this ribosomal RNA (253 nucleotides) under uncultured bacterium. RNAcentral's name for it is "partial 16S ribosomal RNA". It matches the Rfam family "Bacterial small subunit ribosomal RNA", at positions 524 to 776 of the family's 1533-position model. The record is from RNAcentral.
UACGUAGGGUGCGAGCGUUAAUCGGAACUACUGGGCGUAAAGCGUGCGUAGGCGGUUCCUCAAGUCCGUUGUGAAAGCCCCGGGCUCAACCUGGGAAUGGCAGUGGAAACUAGGGGACUGGAAUCUGGCAGAGGGGGGUGGAAUGCCGCGUGUAGCAGUGAAAUGCGUAGAGAUGCGGCGGAACACCGAUGGCGAAGGCAGCCCCCUGGGCUGAGAUUGACGCUCAGGCACGAAAGCGUGGGGAGCAAACAGG